Molecule: unclassified non-coding RNA, 208 nt
Filed under: Glomus sp.
Lineage: Eukaryota; Fungi; Glomeromycota; Glomeromycetes; Glomerales; Glomeraceae
Description: partial contains 5.8S ribosomal RNA and internal transcribed spacer 2
Rfam family: 5.8S ribosomal RNA (bases 1-72)
Source: RNAcentral
GUGAAUCAUCGAAUUUUUGAACGCAAAUUGCACUCUCCGGUUUUCCGGGAGAGUAUGCCUGUUUGAGGGUCGGCCUAAAAAAAAUCGGCAUGGUUGCUGUUAUUUAAUGGUGACUUUCGGCGGAGAUUGGUUUAUCUUAAACCUUUUUUUUUUUUUUGUUUUAAUCAACUUAAAAUUUUUCUUCACAAUUCCAUUAACUUUUCUAAGA